GUGCCAGCAGCCGCGGUAAUACGUAGGGUGCAAGCGUUAAUCGGAAUUACUGGGCGUAAAGCGUGCGCAGGCGGUGAUGUAAGACAGAUGUGGAAUCCCCGGGCUCAACCUGGGAACUGCAUUUGUGACUGCAUCGCUGGAGUGCGGCAGAGGGGGAUGGAAUUCCGCGUGUAGCAGUGAAAUGCGUAGAUAUGCGGAGGAACACCGAUGGCGAAGGCAAUCCCCUGGGCCUGCACUGACGCUCAUGCACGAAAGCGUGGGGA
This 263-nucleotide ribosomal RNA is filed under the name uncultured Burkholderiales bacterium. RNAcentral describes it as "partial 16S ribosomal RNA". It matches the Rfam family "Bacterial small subunit ribosomal RNA", at positions 505 to 767 of the family's 1533-position model. The record is from RNAcentral. Lineage: Bacteria; Pseudomonadati; Pseudomonadota; Betaproteobacteria; Burkholderiales.